RNAcentral lists this ribosomal RNA (497 nucleotides) under uncultured bacterium. Its description in RNAcentral is "partial 16S ribosomal RNA". It matches the Rfam family "Bacterial small subunit ribosomal RNA", at positions 28 to 507 of the family's 1533-position model. The record is from RNAcentral.
GAUGAACGCUGGCGGCGUGCCUAAUACAUGCAAGUCGAGCGAACAGACGAGGAGCUUGCUCCUCUGAUGUUAGCGGCGGACGUGUGAGUAACACGUGUAUAACCUACCUAUAAGACUGGGAUAACUUCGGGAAACCGUAGCUAAUACCGGAUAACAUGUUGAACCGCAUGGUUCAACAGUGAAAGACGGUCUUGCUGUCACUUAUAGAUGGAUCCGCGCCGCAUUAGCUAGUUGGUAAGGUAACGGCUUACCAAGGCAACGAUGCGUAGCCGACCUGAGAGGGUGAUCGGCCACACUGGAACUGAGACACGGUCCAGACUCCUACGGGAGGCAGCAGUAGGGAAUCUUCCGCAAUGGGCGAAAGCCUGACGGAGCAACGCCGCGUGAGUGAAGAAGGUCUUCGGAUCGUAAACCGCUGUUAUUCGGGAAGAACCAAUGUGUAAGUAACUAUGCACGUAUUGACGGUACCUAAUCAGAAAGCCACGGCUAACUACGUG